UGGCCACCACUCAGGGCACCCGCCUAAUCCGCUCAGCGCGCCCUACCGCCAGCCCGCUGCCGGAUCUCGAGCUGCGCCACUCGCCCGCCGCGCCCCAGCCGCCAGCACGCUGACCAACUUCCGUCGCGCUCCCAAUGCCCAAGCGGCACCUGUUCCUCGAUCCCUUUUUCCGAAUCGAAACAUGUCGGCUUGUCGCCUUGUCGGGUGCAUUCUUGAUAUACGGGUAUUUUUUGUCUUUUUCUUUUUUUCCAAUAUUUUUUCUAUACCAAGGUUUAUUUUCAACUCCUCGUUCGUUUAGGCACAGAAUCUCGGAAUCAAAUUAAGUUAGUACAGAUUAGCACAACAUUCCAAAGGGGGUGUUUAUUGUUAUACCUUUUUUUCAAAAAAAAUGGGUCGGUCCAUCAUUUUGUAAAAUUAACUAAACACCAUGCAAAUUUUUUUUCCAAAAAGUUGGUUAUUCUCCAUUAUAGAUUUUGGCCUCAAGAGGCCAAAAAAAACCAGAAAGAGCCUCAAGAGGCUCUUAUGAGGAUAAUAAAUUCUGCAUUGUGGAUGGAACUAAACAUAUGUCCCUAAAAAUUUUGGCAUUUUGCAUUUCACCAAACUAAAAUAGUUGGCAUUUUGUAUUUUUUUGAACUAAACACCCCCUUAGAAUUGUUCCCAGCGUCCAUUACCUGAUGAACAAGCUCACGGUAUUGAGAAACGGGGUAGACUAUAGCUUAGGUUUGAAAACAAGGACAAACAUAUAAAGUUAUUAAAAAAAUAGGGGUAAACAUGCAGUUAGAAUUGAAAAGAAGGACAGUA
This 801-nucleotide long non-coding RNA is filed under the name Sorghum bicolor (sorghum). Its description in RNAcentral is "long non-coding RNA (SBIC_LNC012220)". The record is from RNAcentral. Lineage: Eukaryota; Viridiplantae; Streptophyta; Magnoliopsida; Poales; Poaceae.